This 71-nucleotide transfer RNA is filed under the name Marmota monax (woodchuck). Its description in RNAcentral is "tRNA.Ala". The record is from RNAcentral. Lineage: Eukaryota; Metazoa; Chordata; Mammalia; Rodentia; Sciuridae.
GGGGUUGUGGCUCAGUUGUAGAGUGCUUGCCCAGCAUGCAUGAUGUACUGGGUUCAAUCUCCAGCACCACA